AAACUCAAAGGAAUUGACGGGGACCCGCACAAGCGGUGGAUGAUGUGGAUUAAUUCGAUGCAACGCGAAAAACCUUACCUACCCUUGACAUGUCUGGAAUCCUUGAGAGAUCAGGGAGUGCCUUCGGGAGCCAGAACACAGGUGCUGCAUGGCUGUCGUCAGCUCGUGUCGUGAGAUGUUGGGUUAAGUCCCGCAACGAGCGCAACCCUUGCCACUAAUUGCCAUCAUUGAGUUGGGCACUUUAGUGGGACUGCCGGUGACAAACCGGAGGAAGGUGGGGAUGACGUCAAGUCCUCAUGGCCCUUAUGGGUAGGGCUUCACACGUCAUACAAUGGUCGGUACAGAGGGUUGCCAAGCCGCGAGGUGGAGCUAAUCUCUUAAAGCCGAUCGUAGUCCGGAUCGUAGUCUGCAACUCGACUACGUGAAGUCGGAAUCGCUAGUAAUCGCAGAUCAGCAUGCUGCGGU
RNAcentral lists this ribosomal RNA (465 nucleotides) under uncultured Azoarcus sp. RNAcentral's name for it is "bacterial SSU rRNA". It matches the Rfam family "Bacterial small subunit ribosomal RNA", at positions 897 to 1363 of the family's 1533-position model. The record is from RNAcentral. Lineage: Bacteria; Pseudomonadati; Pseudomonadota; Betaproteobacteria; Rhodocyclales; Zoogloeaceae.